RNAcentral lists this ribosomal RNA (253 nucleotides) under uncultured bacterium. Its description in RNAcentral is "partial 16S ribosomal RNA". It matches the Rfam family "Bacterial small subunit ribosomal RNA", at positions 524 to 776 of the family's 1533-position model. The record is from RNAcentral.
UACGAAGGUGGCAAGCGUUAUUCGGAUUUACUGGGCGUAAAGGGUGCGUAGGCGGGUCUUUGAGUCAGGGGUGAAAUCCCUCGGCUCAACUGAGGAACUGCACGGGAAACUGGCUGACUUGAGUUCGGGAGAGGGAAGCGGAAUUCCGGGUGUAGCGGUGAAAUGCGUAGAUAUCCGGAGGAACACCGGUGGCGAAGGCGGCUUCCUGGACCGAUACUGACGCUGAGGCGCGAAAGCUAGGGGAGCAAACAGG